AGGGAAAGGGGCGGAGCUCCGGCAACUUGAAAUGCCCCUUUGAAGCGCGCCCCAGCCUCUCCCGCACCCGCGCGGCGGCGGGCAUUAACCUAAAUUAUCCAACCAGGAAGCCAAGAGCCAAGGGGAGAUGCACGGGGAGAUCUCUCCUCCUCCUCCUCUCCAGAAACCGUUAGAUUGCAUGUUUCACGUUUCAUCCCAUCAGAGGUGAGCUCUGUAAUUUUCCAAUUCCCACUCCCCCCCACUUUCUCCCGCCCCUCCCCAACGGGAGGUGGGGGGUGGGAGAAAGAGAAGCAACACGCUUGUCAACACGAGUUUGAUGGAAAACACGCUCUAAAAUUGACCCAGGGACAAGCGGUUGGUGCAAGACACGAAGGGCCCAAAAAUUUUUAAUUUUCUUUAAGUAAGGAAAAAGUAGCGCGCGAAGCAACAGCGCUCCUGUUUUCCUAAGUGUCACUUAUGACUUACUUGCAAAAUCAAAACCCCGUUUCAAAAGCGAGGUGGAAGGAUCGGAGGGGCGGGGAUAACAUGCUUUCAUUUGUACACUCCAGUCCUUUGAAGAUAGUAAACAAUUGCAGAGAGCGAGUUGGGGGGGGGAGAGGCUGGAAGUUGCAUAUUUGUUUAUUAACGCUGCUCGGAGUGGGAAGGGAAGCGUCAUAAUUACCGCUCCUUAGAGCGCUUUGUUGUGCGAAGGGCUGGGAUGAAACGCGAAGCGCACGGAGAAGAAAGAAGGGGAUAGAACUACAGAUAUAUAUAUAGCAUUUCCGGGAAAUAAUAGGCAUUUAUGGAUCAAAGAGCCCAAGGUACUUACAUUUAAUGCAGUUGAGAAAUAACAUAUGUUGUGGGAAGGGAUUCUCAAAGCAAGAAAGCUGGCGGGGUAGACAUAUAGAAGGGGGCAGAUGUUCGCCAAUAAACUGCUGCAGCGAGUGUCUCUCCCCCACCCUCCCGAUAUUCCACCCUUCCUUUACACCGAGGCGUUUUCAGAAGUACAGAACCUCCGAUUUUAAUGUGUGCCUGUCUCUGUCUUGGGGCUUUCGCCUGUAUUUUGACGGCUCCUCUGUUUGUCUCGUGUCCCUAUUAUUAUUAUUGCCGCUGGGGGGGGCGGCGGGGGGAAAGGAAUUACCGAGCGCUGCUUUGAACUAGAGGUGAAGUAACUUUGCAAACGUUUCCUAAGCGGAGCGAAGUCUACACAGACGGCGCUGUGCCAUCAACAGGUGGCACCGCCGCCUGAUCCGGGCUGAGAUCUCUUUGGAAGGAGCGGCGCCGUGUUUACUUGGGAGUCAACCUGCGCAGAAUCGGACUAGAAGGAAGCCUGCGUGUUCUAUGUUACUCUGGCCCUUGCGCUGCCAGGCUCAAACGGGGGUGAAGGAUCUGGCGUACGAUGCGCUCAAAACUAAGGGUCUGGCGGGUGAGCCCUUGCUGGUGCUCAGCGGAAGGCUGCGCACGUGCUUACAUCUCGCUCGCCCCAUUGAUGCGACGGGGAUGGCAAGGGGCCUUGCGCUUCGCUUGGAGUGGGGGUGAAACCGCUCGGAGCAGUGCCAACCAAGCCCAAAGCCUUCUCUUUCACAAGUCUGAAAGGAGAAUCAAUACUUCCCUUAGGGCCCAAUUGUUUAUGGCUAUUAAAAGCGCCACAAGCAGGCUGCGUAGUAAAGAGCUUGCUCUCUGCUAAACAAUUUUGGGACCUACUGAGAGGGAGACUCCGCUGGAAAAAAAAAGCAUUUUCCUGAAGCUGGAUGACACACAUUUUAAAAAGCAAAAUGUGUGGCUGAAGAUGAAUUUGUAAAGUUUUGUUUUUUAAAAACUUCCAUCUCUAGGAAACAUUAGGAAAAUAAAGCCAGGAGCCACCCCCCAGGCUUCCCAUUUUCAGCUAAGGUUGAAAUCAUUGAGAGAUGCUUGAAAGGUUGUUUUUCCUUAUUGGCAUAAUACUGUACUACUGUUCAAGCAGUGGUUGCAAUGUCUUGGCUGGAGGCUGGUUCACUUCACCUGAAAGCAUCUAGAUUGCAUGCUUUCUCAUAUUGAGAACUCAGACUCAUACCAGCAUUUAACAUCCUUUUCCUGGUGGGGAGUAUGUCCAAUACCACAUAAUGUCACCAUGGGUGAUUUCAGACUCAUGUAUAAAUUUCAUGUAUGUAUACUUUCCCAAUUUUUGAAAUCCCCCCCCCUUGGGGAGCAGAACAUAUAUAAAGUAUUGGGUUGUACCAUGUGCCAUUUGAAAAUGCACUGAUUCCAACUUAUUCCUAAAGUUUGGGCCUACUUCCCAUCAUUCAAAAUAUGGUACAACAGGGCUGGCUGAAUAACUAUGGUGACCCAUAUGCAUUUAUUCAGAAGUAAAAUCUAUUGUUUUGAGUGGGACUUACUCCCAGGUAAGUGAGUUUAGGAUCUCAGCCUAAACCACCCCUAUGUGACUCCUGGCUGAAUAUAUUGUGAACUGAUGCCAUUGAAAAGCACUGCAUUUGAGAUGAUAUGAAAGAUCUGCCUGUGUUGCUUGAUAUGUAUGUGAAGACUCAUUCACACAUGCAAAGCACCACUUGAGGCUGCAUGCAGUUAUUUUGUGAGGAAUAUGCAAAUAUGAACCAGGCCUGUGUGCCUGGUUCAUACCUGCAUGUUCCUCAGUCUGCCUGUGUCUGCUUUGCUGCAUGGGUUGUGCGCACAUUUGAGAUUCUGUGGCUAACUACAGCUUCCCCGGAUAACAAAUUUCUGUUAGCACAAAUGAAAAGUGCACAUACGUACAUUUGCAUAUGGCUUUUCCUACAUGGAAGUCAUACUUGUAUAGGAAAUAGACAUGUGUUCUUUAUACUAAGUUGUAUUGAAAUCAAUGUGUCAUGCUGAUAAAUUGGCUUAGGAGUACAAAAGAUCUUAAGCAGCAACUGCAGUCUGAUUACGGACCCAUUUUCUAUGUGUAUUAUUUUAUAUGUAUGUUCCAUAAUCUUCACUUAAGGACAAAUAAUUGAUUAAAAUAUCUUGGAGAGGAGAAGAGUGGUCCUUUUAAAGUACGUGAGUACCAAUAGCAAUAAAGUAUUUAAAUCCAUGGGUGUUUUGUAGACGUUAAAUUAUUUUGGCUGCUUUCUUUACACCUUUGCAUGACAGCAAGUCCAGUGGAAUUGAGAACCUGCAAUCAGUUUGUAUAAGCCUCACCGAUUUCACUAUGGGAGGUCUACAGUGUUGAGACAAUCAUUCUGACCUACCUUACAGGGUUACUGUAAAAGUUAAUGGCGUACAGCUCAGUCAUAUAUAUGUUUACUCUAAGCCCUCCUGUGUUCAGGGGGACUUACUUCUGAGUCACAGCCACAGAUUGCAGCCACAGGAUUUGAAAUGUUGUGAAGGCUGUCCAAGUUCUACACAAGUACAAGGUAUUAACUUGUCCUACACAAUACUGAAAAUCAGUGGCAGUUAAAAUUUACAUCCUGGUCUGUUCAAUGAAUGGAAACACCAGUGUUUGUAACAAGCUUUAGAAAGGAAUAUUAAAUAACAAAUAUUUAAACAUGUGACAGGUGUCUCAAGACAGACACGUGGUGUGAAGUGGGCACCUUCGCUUUUCAGGUUAAUUAAUAAAAGGUGUGUUCUUAAAACAUGGCCUGCUGUUUCUAAGACACCUCUUUUAAAACUUUUUUUAAACUGAAGAAAUGGGUCAUAAUUUCAAGGCUGGAAUCUUGGGUAUCAAAAGCACAAGGAAAAGCCGAACAAGCUUGCUUUUGCAAUGACAAGACUGUUAACUAUAAUAGCCGAGCCUGCCUUCAUAAAAUUAAGACUCUGUAUUUGCCUCUUUCUGAUUCCAGUGCAACCAUUGGAAAGAAAAGAUGUAUUUGCCUCAAGGAGUCUACCUGAACAAAUAAAUAAAUAAAUAAAUGCUAAAGUAUGACUAAAGGCGUGAAUUUUUGUUGAUUGUGGUUGCACAUAUGUUGUUGAACACCUAUGAGGAAGCAAGGACACUUUAACACAACUCAUUCCGAAAUAUGCAUAUAAAUAGGAUUGCCGGGUACAAUCCUGAGCAUCGUUCCUUGCAAAUAAGUGCCGCAGAAAUAAAUGGUUCUUACACAGGUUCGGGCACAUCAGAGUAUCCUGCAGUUGGUGUGAAAGGCUUCUCUCGCGCGUAACCACUGGUGCUUUUUUAAUCUGCGCAAAGUGGACACACAUGAAUUGCGAGUCCCGAGCCCAGUAACUCUUUCCCUUCCAGGGGCGACUUCUCUUCUCGCUUCACCUUCCUGUUCUCGGAGUGAGUCGAGUAACUUUGGUCUCCAGAGUCCUGAAGCUGCCAAGGGAAUAUUAAACACAACCAAGAAAUGGAGGAAGAGCCCCAACAAAGCUCUCUUGAAGUUUCAUGCGUGGAGUCUUUACUCCUCAGCAAACUACUGGAUCGGGUGUGGGAGGGUCGGCCUUGGACACACGGGACCUAAACGCCAUUCCCACGACCUUUUGUCCACGGACUUCCAAAACUGGUCCAGUCUCGACGCAACUGUGCGCGUUUAGGACUAAGAGGCUAACGCAGCGCAAAACCCACCAAUGACAUUGCGUGGCUAUGCGGCGCCCCUUAAAACAUGGCGAGGCUCAUUUAUUAUUAUCAUUAUAAUUAUUGUUACCCACCGGCCCCUUCAAAAUAGGGUUCCCCUUCCCUGCUCUCUCCCUCCUCAGCAGGCGCAUCCCUCGCGCGUCCGCCUUACUCCCAAGUAGCCCAAGUGAGAAGGGAACUUUCUCCGUGUGUGUCAAGUAGGAGACUUAUGGUGUUGAAAUCAAUAAGACUGUUUAAAAUUCAAAGACCUGCAAAUCGUUCUGUUUGUCCUUUGAUAGGGCCUCUGCUGAUUAAAAUGCGACCAAGAAAGCUUAAUUGCUGCACUAAUUAAGAAGUCUUUAAUUUCUUUCCUGGAAUAUUGUUUGAAGCAGGGUUUCUCUUCUAUUCCUCGCAGCUUGUUCAGGGCAAAGUCUCUCCCCCCUCCCUCUCUCUCUCCCCACCCUCCAUCACUCCCUCUGACCCUUUCGAUGAAUAAACAAUGCGCACUGGAAACAGUCAGAUGAAUAGAUAGUGAUCCUAAUUUAUUACUUUCCAAAACACCUGCUCCAGAGUGCGCUGCUUUACGAAGCCCGGGGCCGCGGAGCGACGCGUAAGAUGCGCAUUAGACGACGCGCGUUAAGUGCUCUAACCGCACCUGAGUGACAGCAGAUAAACGGGGGCGCAAUUUCCUCCUGUCUCUCUCUUCUCCACCCCCAGCCCUCCUCACGCCUCUCCAACUUCUUCCUUUCUUUCCUCCUCUGUCGUUAGCGGGAAAGAAAUAUUUUAGCUCAUCAGACGGACGAAAAAAUCCUUAGCUUUAGGAAAGGAAAGGAGGAAGACCCAAGCAAGUGUUGGGGGAGAUGGGUCCCCAUCUUAAAUUCAUUACCAUAUACUUUCUUCUGUUUAUUUCGACUCCCCUCCCCACCGCUGCUUUCCUGAGAAAUACAAUGACCCCAUUAUGCUUCGCCCCCUUCCUCCUGCCUAUUGACCGAUCUUUACCCAGCCAUUUCUCAAAACUGAGGGGACGGACUCAUGAAUCUUGCCCUGUGAUCAAUAGCCCUUAAAAAGAGAGCGGAUGUAUUUAUUCUGCGUUCCCAGCGUGCGCCUGCGUGAGUCAGAGAGUGCGAGGUUAGGAAGGAAAGAGGCGAUGCAACGCGAACCACCGUUUACUCCAGAGUAGCCUCAGUGAGGUAGACCCCCUGCACCGGGCAAAGUGCAGGACAAAGUUGGCAUGCAAGUUUCCGGGUUGUCCCACAAGUGGGCACGAUCCAGCCAAAGCAACUUGCCUUUCCCAAAUGCUGCUUCUCUGUAUUAUCAGGGAUUCUGCGGGAGGGGCUGGAUCGUGUCCCAUCUUGAGAAAUGGGAGUGUCUGAGCGGGCGGUUUAAACGACUUAACGAGAUACCCUGUGGAUUGUGAAUUAAUUGUAGUACUUUUAUUUUUUAAAUUGUAAUUUAAAAAGAUAGGCGCAUGUUAUUGUUUUUUUAUUUUCUUUGCUUCUAAUAUGUUGAAUUCCUGCCUUGCAGGGGGUUGGACUAGAUGACCACGGGAGCCCCCUCCAACUGCACAAUUCUGUGAUCCUGUGCGCUGCCUUUGGAGACCCUGACUCUGCGGAGGCGGCAGCCGCUGGGCUUCGAACUUCUAACACGGCGGUGGUGAACCAAGCCCCGCCUUCCCCUUCUAUAAAUACACCGAGGCUUCUCGUCGCUGACAGGACGACUAGAUAACACGCUUAAUACAAAUACAAAAGGGC
Podarcis lilfordi (Lilford's wall lizard) is the source of this 6234-nucleotide non-coding RNA. The record is from the annotation of a GenBank genome assembly. NCBI's taxonomy places the organism in Eukaryota, Metazoa, Chordata, Lepidosauria, Squamata, Lacertidae.